Molecule: unclassified non-coding RNA, 257 nt
Filed under: Hevea brasiliensis (rubber tree)
Lineage: Eukaryota; Viridiplantae; Streptophyta; Magnoliopsida; Malpighiales; Euphorbiaceae
Source: RNAcentral
GAACAAAAUGAAAGAAAACCCUAAAAUAGCAACAUCAUUUUUUCUUCUUUUCCAGUAGGCAAAGUGAUCCUUCUAUACAUAUGUAAACUUUUAGAUCAAGCAAUGAGAUUGUUUUCUUAUUUUUUUGACAAGGUCGAUUAAAGAUUAGAGGAACCAAACAUCUUCUAUUAUAAACAUGCAUCAAGGUAAUGUUAAAGUAACUCCGUAGAGGAAGAGAAAAAUGGUUAGAAAGAUGUCCAAAGGAUAUCUAGAUUUAC